AUGAACGCUGGCGGCGUGCCUAAUGCCUGCAAGUCGAGCGCACGGACGAGAAGCUUGCUUCUCUGAUGUUAGCGGCGGACGGGUGAGUAACACGUGGAUAACCUACCUAUAAGACUGGGAUAACUUCGGGAAACCGUAGCUAAUACCGGAUAAUAUUUUGAACCGCAUGGUUCAAAAGUGAAAGACGGUCUUGCUGUCACUUAUAGAUGGAUCCGCGCUGCAUUAGCUAGUUGGUAAGGUAACGGCUUACCAAGGCAACGAUGCAUAGCCGACCUGAGAGGGUGAUCGGCCACACUGGAACUGAGACACGGUCCAGACUCCUACGGGAGGCAGCAGUAGGGAAUCUUCCGCAAUGGGCGAAAGCCUGACGGAGCAACGCCGCGUGAGUGAUGAAGGUCUUCGGAUCGUAAAACUCUGUUAUUAGGGAAGAACAUAUGUGUAAGUAACUGUGCACAUCUUGACGGUACCUAAUCAGAAAGCCACGGCUAACUACGUG
RNAcentral lists this ribosomal RNA (496 nucleotides) under uncultured bacterium. Its description in RNAcentral is "partial 16S ribosomal RNA". It matches the Rfam family "Bacterial small subunit ribosomal RNA", at positions 29 to 507 of the family's 1533-position model. The record is from RNAcentral.